Long non-coding RNA from Anolis carolinensis (green anole), 1535 nucleotides. RefSeq lists it as uncharacterized. The transcript has 3 exons. The record is from RefSeq and is a predicted model, not a curated record. Lineage: Eukaryota; Metazoa; Chordata; Lepidosauria; Squamata; Anolidae.
GCAUUUCCCACCCUCGUCUUAUACUCGAGUCAAUAAUUUUUUCCAGUUUUUUGUGGUAAAAUUAGAUGCCUCGGCUUAUACUCGGGUAUAUAUGGUAUAUUGUGCAAUACGGGACGAGUGCCUUCGGUUGGCUAAUCCUCUCUUUUCUUGAACACCACGUCUCUCUUUCCGCCACUUCUUCUCCUCCUCCCUUCCUUUUACUUUCUGCACUGCUCCUGAUUUCUAUUCAGCCCAAAAGAAGAGGAAAUUUAAAUUAAGAUGCUAAAAUCCCGAGCUGUAAUUUCUACGGUUUUCGAUUAGCAUAUCGCAACUUGCUCCAGGAAUGCUGGGUGCUGGUCGGCCGAGAGAACAAGAUUGUGAAAAGACCAUCCAUUGAAAGGAAAAAUUUUCAUUUCUUCAGGGUCCCAUUCGUGAGCCAGAGCCAGGUCUUCUCCUUAUCAGCUUUUCCUUCAAUUUUGUCAAGGAACCUUCCAUGCAAUGUUUUGUUGUGCCAGAUGUCAGCUCUAGUUUGUAGUGCGGUUUUCUUGUACUGGUUUUUGUCUGCUGUGCUUUGCGGAGUUUCUGAUUUUUGACUUCAAUCCAAGCAGGUUCUUCACUUUGCUUUACAUAUUCUGCCAGGGCAUGUUCUUCUUCUUUGACUGCUUGUUUGACUUGUAAGAGUCCUCUGCCACCAGAUCUUCGAGGCAGAUAUAGACGGUCAACAUCACUGCGAGGGUGCAGUGAAUGAUGAAUGGUUAUUAUUAUUAUUAUUAUUAUUAUUAUUAUUAUUAUUAUUACUACUACUACUAUUUAUUAGAGUUGUGCAUGGAACCAUUUUCUUUCAUUUCAUCAAUUCUUUCAUUACUUUCAUUACCUUCGGGAGCAUGUGAAGAUGAAAAUCAGCUCAACACGAAAGUUAUCACUACUAUUACUACUACUACUAUUUAUUAGAGUUGUGCAUGGAACCGUUUUCCUUCGUUUCAUCUGUUCAUUACUCUCAUUAUCUUCAGGAGCACGUAACGGGAAGACCCCUCCCGGUAUGAAAAUCAACUCAACACGAAAGCAAGCGAGAGCCGAACCCAGCUCCUCACCUGCUUUUCGUGAGCAGCCUCCUUGCCUUGGAGAGAGAGUGUGUGUGUGGCGUGCAGGCCCAUAAAGCACACACAGCGCGCCUGCCUGCAGCUGAGCACCUACCCUAGAAGUAAGAAUUAGAAUUUGCCUCAAUGCCUUGGAAAAAGAAUGUGGGCAUGUAGGGCGUACAGGCCCUGAAAGUGCACAUGCCUACCUGCAGCCGAGCACCUCUCAUCUAGAGUGAAAACAGUUCUCAAGACAGGCUUUCCUCUUACCUGGAAAUAUGUGAGAGUCGCAAAUGGAAUAAUGGCACCCUCUAUCGGCUUCUCUUGAAAUGACAAGAGAGGGCGGGGAAUUCGUAGCAAGUUUCUGUUCUUUCUUCAGACAUACAAUAGAAAACCAGAAGAGAUUUCACAUGAAUAUAGGUAGUUCCAUUCCCAACAUGUCAACUUGGAAAUAAUAAUAAACCUUAUUUGUAUCCUGCA